AUGUCUCUGCCACCUCGAGGUAGAUUAUAAAAAUUGUAAUAUAUACAGUAAGCCCGCGGGAGUAUUCGAUCAAGGAGACUAUUGUUAGCUUCCUAAAUAUUAUGACAAUAAAGUUAAAUGUUAUAUUUUGUAUUAUCAAAACAUUUCAGUUAUAUAAAUGUUGCUGAGAGACCACCGCAUCUCAUUCACAUACGAACAGCCAGACGCGAUGGCCGCGCGCCUAAAUUAACAAGUGUACAGACAUGGGACGUUGUCACUAAUAUUUUGUAAACAUCCACAUGUCCUGUUCGUGCUGUAUAGUUAUGUUUUGAUAGACUAAUGGACCGAUUAACGAUAGUUCUCGUGCUGUGCGUUAUAAUUUUAGCGUCUGACGUCACAGGCCACGUUUUACCACGGCGGACAAACGCUACGAAAGAAACAGAAAAUG
This is a long non-coding RNA of Hyposmocoma kahamanoa, 427 nucleotides long. RefSeq lists it as uncharacterized. The record is from RefSeq and is a predicted model, not a curated record. Lineage: Eukaryota; Metazoa; Arthropoda; Insecta; Lepidoptera; Cosmopterigidae. The transcript is spliced from 2 exons.